GUUGGGGUUUAACAUGUUAGCAGGAUCCUAAUCCUUCCCCUAACCUGUAACAGUGGUAUAACAGUAUAACAUAAGAACGAACUAUAAAAAUCUGUUGAAAAAGGCUUAACUCAUCAGAUGGACAAAAAUACAAGUGGAACUGUGUAAGGUUCUUCCCAAAAUCCACUUACUGAUAUCAUUAUCACAGUUAUGGGGGAAAUAUGACUCGGGAAAUG
This 215-nucleotide long non-coding RNA is filed under the name Mytilus galloprovincialis (Mediterranean mussel). Lineage: Eukaryota; Metazoa; Mollusca; Bivalvia; Mytilida; Mytilidae. The record is from RNAcentral.